UACAGAGGGUGCGAGCGUUAAUCGGAAUUACUGGGCGUAAAGCGCGCGUAGGCGGCUCUGCAAGUCGGGUGUGAAAUCCCCAGGCUUAACCUGGGAACUGCAUUCGAGACUGCAUUGCUAGAGUAUGGGAGAGGGAAGUGGAAUUUCCGGUGUAGCGGUGAAAUGCGUAGAUAUCGGAAGGAACAUCAGUGGCGAAAGCGGCUUCCUGGUCCAGCACCGACGUUCAGGCACGAAAGCGUGGGGAGCAAACAGG
Molecule: ribosomal RNA, 253 nt
Filed under: uncultured bacterium
Lineage: Bacteria
Description: partial 16S ribosomal RNA
Rfam family: Bacterial small subunit ribosomal RNA
Source: RNAcentral